ACCGCACAAGCGGUGGAUGAUGUGGAUUAAUUCGAUGCAACGCGAAAACCUUACCUACCCUUGACAUGUCCGGAAUCCCGAAGAGAUUUGGGAGUGCUCGCAAGAGAGCCGGAACACAGGUGCUGCAUGGCUGUCGUCAGCUCGUGUCGUGAGAUGUUGGGUUAAGUCCCGCAACGAGCGCAACCCUUGUCAUUAGUUGCCAUCAUUUGGUUGGGCACUCUAAUGAGACUGCCGGUGACAAGCCGGAGGAAGGUGGGGAUGACGUCAAGUCCUCAUGGCCCUUAUAGGUGGGGCUACACACGUCAUACAAUGGCUGGUACAAAGGGUUGCCAACCCGCGAGGGGGAGCCAAUCCCAUAAAGCCAGUCGUAGUCCGGAUCGUAGUCUGCAACUCGACUACGUGAAGUCGGAAUCGCUAGUAAUCGUGGAUCAGAAUGUCACGGUGAAUACGUUCCCGGGUCUU
Molecule: ribosomal RNA, 462 nt
Filed under: uncultured Rhodocyclaceae bacterium
Lineage: Bacteria; Pseudomonadati; Pseudomonadota; Betaproteobacteria; Rhodocyclales; Rhodocyclaceae
Description: bacterial SSU rRNA
Rfam family: Bacterial small subunit ribosomal RNA
Source: RNAcentral